RNAcentral lists this transfer RNA (72 nucleotides) under Talismania bifurcata (threadfin slickhead). Its description in RNAcentral is "tRNA-Val". It matches the Rfam family "tRNA". From Rfam's summary of the family: Transfer RNA (tRNA) molecules are approximately 80 nucleotides in length. Their secondary structure includes four short double-helical elements and three loops (D, anti-codon, and T loops). The record is from RNAcentral. Lineage: Eukaryota; Metazoa; Chordata; Actinopteri; Alepocephaliformes; Alepocephalidae.
CAGGGUGUGGCUGAGACAGUUAAGCGCCUCCCUUACACCGAGAAGACACCCAUGCAAGUUGGGUCACCCUGA